Lucilia sericata (common green bottle fly) is the source of this 1185-nucleotide long non-coding RNA. RefSeq lists it as uncharacterized. The transcript has 2 exons. Lineage: Eukaryota; Metazoa; Arthropoda; Insecta; Diptera; Calliphoridae. The record is from RefSeq and is a predicted model, not a curated record.
UUCGCCGUAAAAUCAGUUGUUGCGCGACGUUUCCUAUUGAAGGUUCGUUUCGUGGCUUUUCUCUUUAAACUUUUUUGGGUUGUUGCUAGAAAAAAAAAAAACACAAGAAAUAUAAAAUUUUUAUACAAAAGUAUUCACUUAAAUAAAUAACAGUGUUCAAAAUAAUAGAAAUUAGAAAAAAAGGAAAUUUCCACAAAGUGUUAACGCUUAAAAAUAAAAGUGCAAAAAGAAGAAAUCGUUGCUUUUUUACCACGUCUCAAAUUUCUUUUUGUCUUUUAUAUUUUAUAAAUUUUUCUACAUUUGUGUGUUAACAACACCUUUCUAUUAGUAAGCAACUAAAGUAAAAAACCACGACAACAACAACAAUAAUAACAACAGCAGCUCGGCAAAAGCAAUAGCAGCAAAUUAUUAAAACGACGUAGUUGUUGUAGUUUAUUUCAAAGUCUUCGAAUUGUAUUUAAAUAAAACAAAAGCAAAAUUAAAAAAAAAAAAUAAAGUGGCCUUAUGAAUAAUUAAGUAAAAAAUAGUUAAAGUUUAAUACGAAACUUAGUGUGAAAGUAACCAAAAAAAAGUUGAAAUUUUUUUAUACAAAAAAUUUAUUACAAAACAAAAGCUUUUGCAAACGAAAUUUUAAAAUAAAAACAUCCUGUACACGAGGAUCUGUAUCGUGUUGUUGUUUAAACGAAUAGGUAAUUUGUUGCUAAAUAAAAGAAAAUCUUUGUAAAAAAAAGUUCCACCUCUAAGUGCUCUUAUUAUAUAAAAAUUAAAAAUAAUUAAUAUAAAAGCAACAAAAUCUACUAUCAUUUGUUGUUAUUUUUACCCCCCUCUCACUACAAAACAUACAUAUCAUCAUCGCUACUUGGUCAACCUUCGCUGCUGAGACAUACGCGAAUACCAGAUAACCAACUGUAAAAAACCCACAAAAUAAAUCUUAUUUAAAUAAAAUAUCACUUAUCAGUGUUUCCCUAACUGCCUUAUCUAAACAAAACAAAACAAAAAAAAUAUAUUAAAAAAAAUCAAAAAAAUUUACAUAAAACGUGAGCUUCCUAUUUUAAAUUCAUACAAAUUUAAAAAAAAUAAAAAAAUUAAUUAAAAUCAAACUAGUAACUGAUACAACGAAAACGGUUGUGUUUAAAAUAAAACAAAAAAAAUCCUAAUAAAUCUAAAGCAAAUUAUUAAAGUUUA